RNAcentral lists this ribosomal RNA (256 nucleotides) under uncultured bacterium. RNAcentral describes it as "partial 16S ribosomal RNA". It matches the Rfam family "Bacterial small subunit ribosomal RNA", at positions 524 to 776 of the family's 1533-position model. The record is from RNAcentral.
UACGUAGGGCGCAAGCGUUAUCCGGAAUUAUUGGGCGUAAAGAGCUCGUAGGCGGUUUGUCGCGUCUGCCGUGAAAGUCCGGGCUCAACUCCGGAUCUGCGGUGGGUACGGGGCAGACUAGAGUGAUGUAGGGGAGACUGGAAUUCCUGGUGUGGCGGUGAAAUGCGCAGAUAUCAGGAGGAACACCGAUGGCGAAGGCAGGUCUCUGGGCCACUACUGACGCUGGAGAAGCGAAAAGCAUGGGGGAGCGAACAGG